Molecule: ribosomal RNA, 446 nt
Filed under: uncultured bacterium
Lineage: Bacteria
Description: bacterial SSU rRNA
Rfam family: Bacterial small subunit ribosomal RNA
Source: RNAcentral
AACACAUGCAAGUCGAACGAGACGAUUUAGAAGCUUGCUUUUAUUGAGUCGAGUGGCAAACGGGUGAGUAACGCGUAGACAACCUGCCGCAAAGAUGGGGACAACAGUUGGAAACGACUGCUAAUACCGCAUAAUGUAUUCUGACCGCAUGAUCGGAAUACCAAAGAUUUAUUGCUGGAAGAUGGCCUCGCGUCUGAUUAGAUAGUUGGUGAGGUAACGGCUCACCAAGUCGACGAUCAGUAGCCGGACUGAGAGGUUGAACGGCCACAUUGGGACUGAGAUACGGCCCAGACUCCUACGGGAGGCAGCAGUGGGGAAUAUUGCACAAUGGAGGAAACUCUGAUGCAGCGACGCCGCGUGAGUGAAGAAGUAAUUCGUUAUGUAAAGCUCUAUCAGCAGGGAAGAUAGUGACGGUACCUGACUAAGAAGCUCCGGCUAAAUACGUG